AUUUAGUAUUUAAUUGUGGAUUUGUAUCACUUAAACACUGAAUGUCAAAGUCUUAUUGGGUAAUUUUCUAACCACAUAAGUACAGAAGUCCUUCAGGUUUCUGGGAUGUUUCACUCAAUCAGCCUCAGGUGUGUAGGGAAUUAAUGUAAUUGAGCCAAAGCAAUCUCAAUCUGGUCUACUUCGCUCUGGUCUUACCUGCCCUUACCUCUCCUGAUCUGGCCUCCCCUUACUUCUCCUAUAAUUCUCAGGUUCCAGCCAUCCAGUCACCAUGAAGAUCCUGUAUCUGGUGUUUUUGAUGCUCUUUGUGAUCUCCUAUGCUGGCACAGGUCUAGCUGGCCAAUCAUCAUGAGGAUUCUCAUCAUGGUAUUUAUGAUGCUCUUUGUGAUCUUCUCCUAUGCUGGCACAGGCUAUGGUGGAUUUGACAGUUUCAUAUGUGCAAUGAGAGGGGGCAGUUGUGAGAAUGAGCUUUGUAUCUUUCCUCUUAUUAAAAUGGGCACCUGCGGUAAAAAGAGAACUCACUGUUGCCUUUACAUUCCAAUGUUAUUGAAAUAUAAAAGUAGUGAGUUAAAAGUGUAGAAGAUGGGAGAAGUUGAAAUCAAAUUUUUUUCAUUCUUGUUUUAAUAAACAAACUCACUUUUGAAAACUAUGCUUUCUAAGGCAAAAAUGAUUCUUGUGUCACUGUUCAUUUGAAGAGGU
This 696-nucleotide long non-coding RNA is filed under the name Sarcophilus harrisii (Tasmanian devil). Its description in RNAcentral is "lncRNA (ENSSHAG00000028848.1)". Lineage: Eukaryota; Metazoa; Chordata; Mammalia; Dasyuromorphia; Dasyuridae. The record is from RNAcentral.